UAUUAUUCUAGAAUUAAUAAAGAUCCUUGGGCUAGUAGUAGUUAUUUACUUAAAAUCUAAAAAACUUGGCGGUAAUUUAAUCUUCCCAGAGGAACUUGUUUUUUUAUCGAUAAUCCACGAAAAAUCUUACUUGUCUUCGUAUAGUUUGUAUACCGUCAUUAUAAGGUAAUUCUUAAAGGAAAAUUAUCAAACUUAGUUUUUUAUAAAAAUUAGAUCAAGGUGCAGCUUAUAGAUAAGGAAAAGUGAGUUACAAUAAAGUACUUUAAAUGGAACGACAGAAUAAUAGCUGUUGUGAAGGAGGAUUUGGUUGUAUUUUGAUUUUACUAAGGUCAAGAGAUAUAAGCUCUAAAUUAUGUACAUAU
RNAcentral lists this ribosomal RNA (362 nucleotides) under Pseudopinnixa carinata. Its description in RNAcentral is "partial 12S ribosomal RNA". Lineage: Eukaryota; Metazoa; Arthropoda; Malacostraca; Decapoda; Varunidae. The record is from RNAcentral.